RNAcentral lists this ribosomal RNA (505 nucleotides) under uncultured bacterium. Its description in RNAcentral is "bacterial SSU rRNA". It matches the Rfam family "Bacterial small subunit ribosomal RNA", at positions 26 to 518 of the family's 1533-position model. The record is from RNAcentral.
AGGACGAACGCUGGCGGCGUGCCUAACACAUGCAAGUCGAGCGGGGACAUACGACGGAACCAAAGUUUCGGAUGGAGGUGAAGAUGUAUGUUCUAGCGGCGGACGGGUGAGUAACGCGUGAGCAACCUGUCCCUUACAGGGGGAUAACACAGCGAAAGUUGUACUAAUACCGCAUGAGACCACGGGGAGACAUCUUUCAGGGGUCAAAGGAGCAAUCCGGUAAGGGGUGGGCUCGCGUCCGAUUAGAUAGUUGGUGAGGUAACGGCCCACCAAGUCGACGAUCGGUAGCCGACCUGAGAGGGUGAUCGGCCACAUUGGGACUGAGACACGGCCCAAACUCCUACGGGAGGCAGCAGGUGGGGAAUAUUGGGCAAUGGGGGGAACCCUGACCCAGCAACGCCGCGUGAGGGAAGAAGGUUUUCGGAUCGUAAACCUCUGUCCUUGGUGAAGAGUAAGAGACGGUAGCCAAGGAGGAAGCCCCGGCUAACUACGUGCCAGCCGCUGC